UUAUAUCACAUUUGAUGACCA
This 21-nucleotide non-coding RNA is filed under the name Caenorhabditis elegans. The record is from RNAcentral. Lineage: Eukaryota; Metazoa; Nematoda; Chromadorea; Rhabditida; Rhabditidae.